GGUGCGGUAAGAGCGCACCGCGCAGCUGGUAACAGGUGUGGCAUGGUAAACCCCGCCCGGAGCAAGAUCAAAUAGAGGAACAGACGCGUGGCCCGCGCGGUUCCUGGGUAGAUUGCUUGAGCUGCAAGGUGACUUGCAGCCUAGAUGAAUGACUGUUCUCGACAAAACCCGGCUUAUAGGCCGACUCUUUCU
RNAcentral lists this RNase P RNA (192 nucleotides) under Methylococcaceae bacterium. Its description in RNAcentral is "partial RNase P RNA component class A". It matches the Rfam family "Bacterial RNase P class A", at positions 161 to 367 of the family's 367-position model. From Rfam's summary of the family: Ribonuclease P (RNase P) is a ubiquitous endoribonuclease, found in archaea, bacteria and eukarya as well as chloroplasts and mitochondria. Its best characterised activity is the generation of mature 5'-ends of tRNAs by cleaving the 5'-leader elements of precursor-tRNAs. Cellular RNase Ps are ribonucleoproteins. Lineage: Bacteria; Pseudomonadati; Pseudomonadota; Gammaproteobacteria; Methylococcales; Methylococcaceae. The record is from RNAcentral.